GUCCUUUUGUAGUACCUAAGUGUGAUGAUUGGCUUUUGGGAUGUGCCACCCAUAAACCUUGUUACAACAUUGGCACAUAACCCAUCUGAUG
This 91-nucleotide small nucleolar RNA is filed under the name Erinaceus europaeus (western European hedgehog). Its description in RNAcentral is "Small nucleolar RNA U13". It matches the Rfam family "Small nucleolar RNA U13". The record is from Rfam by way of RNAcentral. Lineage: Eukaryota; Metazoa; Chordata; Mammalia; Eulipotyphla; Erinaceidae.